This is a long non-coding RNA of Myzus persicae (green peach aphid), 374 nucleotides long. RefSeq lists it as uncharacterized. The transcript is spliced from 3 exons. The record is from RefSeq and is a predicted model, not a curated record. NCBI's taxonomy places the organism in Eukaryota, Metazoa, Arthropoda, Insecta, Hemiptera, Aphididae.
GCAAAUUAACAGCACACUAUUGAAUCUGGUGAACAAAAAUUUACUAUGUCGUAUGUGUGUAAGACAACAUAUGCGGGUGGGACAUCCUCUCAAUAUUUAUGUUUAUGACUAUUAUUAUGAUCUUAAUAUGCAUUAUUUAUAGAUGUUUCAUAAUCAAAUCAUUGUUUUAACCAUGAAUUUAUGUGCUAUUUGUUUUAAAAUUGUAUCAUGUUUGGGUAUUCAAUUUUUGCAAUCAGUUACAAUUCUUAGAAAAUCAAUAUAAUAUUGAAUUUCAACAAUUGAUAAAUAGUUUGAAUAUACGACGAUCCAAACAUGUUAGAGAUCAUAACACUGUAGUUAUAUGGGAUUUAUUACAAAAGCUAAUGAAUGACAGG